UCUGGAACAUAUUUCUGUGCCGUCUCAUUUUGUCUAACUUUGUCUGUGGUCUCCAUUUCUCAGGCUGCAGGAUUUUAAUACUUGGUACUGGUACCUACCUGCUGGUGGGUGAGGUUGGUCUAAGAGUCUUGUGCAGGCUUCCUGGUGGGAGGGACUGGUGCCUGCCCACUGGUGAGUGGAGCUGGGUCUUGUCCCUCAGGUGGGCAGAGCCAUGUCAAAGGGUGUUUAUAGGCUGUUGGCUCUGGAUGACUUUAGGCAGCCUGUUUGCUGAUGAGUGGGGCUGUGUUCCCACCCUAUUGGUUGUUUGGCCUGAGGCAUCCCAGCACUGGAGCCUGCAAGCUGUUGGGCAGGGCCAGGUCUUGAUGGCCAAAUGGCAACCUCUGGGAGAGCUCACACCAAUGAGUGUUGCCUGGGGCAUCCACCACUAGUGUCCCCACAAUGGGCCACAGCUGACCCCCACCUCCCCAGGAGAUCCUCUAAGAUCCACAGGUAGGUCUGGUCCAAGCUGUAAUGGAGUUACUGCUUUGUCCUGGGCCCCAGUGCUUGUGAACAUUUUGUGUGCUAAGAAUGGAGUCCCUGUUUCCCCCAGUCCUGUGGAGCUCCUGUACUCAAGUCUAGCUGGCCAUCAAAGCCAAAUGCUCUGGGGGCUCCUCCUCCCAAUGCCAGACCCCCAGGCUGGGGAGCCUGACGUGGGGCUCAGAACUCUCACUCAUGUGGGAGAAACUCCACAGGUAUGGGAUUUGAUUGUAUCACUAAUGUGCCCCUCCUCCUGUCUUCUUGUGGCUUCUUCUUGGCCUUUGGGUGUAGAAUAUCUUGUUUGGUAGGUUCAAGUCUUUUUUGUUGAUGGUUGUUCAGCAGUCAGUUGUGAUUUUGGUGUUUUCGUGAGAGGAGGUGAGCUCAAGUCCUACUCUGCCAUCUUGUCUCUCUCCUGCCACCUUUUGGCUUGAGUUUCAGAAGGAUGAUUCUAGUCUCACGCUGAUGUGUGUGCUGUUGGUUCUGAAGUUCAGCCAAGGCUUGUCACAGAACAGUCACAAGCCACAGGGUUGUGGUUUAAAUGGUCUUAUGUAUAUUGGGGGGGGGACUGAAAAGCUUAGUAGUAUAAAGAUUUUCAAAAACCAUUUUAAAAUAAAUGACAGUAAUCUCUGGAGGGAGAAAUGGGAGUUUUCACUUAGUUUGAUUUACAAGAUCAUAGUAAGACAGGUUUGGGAACAGAACAACAGGCUUGAAAGUUUUUCAGAGACCAUGAGACCGUUGAAUCAGCUGUUAGCGAAGCUCCUGGCCAAGACUUGACAGCAAACUGGUCCACUGGGUGCUCUGGGCAUAUCCACGACUCAGUUCUGCUGAUGGGACGUCUCCUGGAGAACGCUCGGCUGAAAGGAGAGUCUUCUGCCGUGGGGGAGAAUACAUCCACAUCCUCAUCUAGAAAAAGGCAGAAAGACUUAGCAUACAGGAAGUAACUGAGAACAGAACAAAAGAAAAUGGGCUUCAACUGCAGAGGGUUACACGUUAAGAUGGACUUAAAACCCAGCAUUGCUUGUAGGUUCUCUCAUCCCACAGACACACUACCUAUACUUUUUCAAGGCCCUCCGCCCUUACUGUCAGCAUGGAGCUGACAGCAACAAGUAAUUGUGAAAACACAGAAUACCUGUGGUACUUCAGUUUGAUACUAUGCAGUUCUUUUUGUCUCAGAUCUGUGGCAGUUUUGCUGUUUUGCAUGAUUUCUAUCAUGGUCUUGAGGGAAGAGAGCCACUGAAAAGCCCCACCUCCUGCACCCCGCUGCAGUUCUAGCAGAAGGAGGAAACCUCUCUAACCAGUGCAGCUAACAGGGUGAAUCCCGUUCUUUCCAGGUGGGGUCGAGGGGAAUCCUAGGGUCUGAAGGCUGAUUAUAAUAGCCAGUCCGUUCUCAGACUGAAUGUAUGGAAACACAGGGGUAUAACCCCCGAGGGGAAAUGGCUGGCUCUGCACACACCACCUACCACUCGUGCUGCUUUCCCCUCAGAUCCCAGCGACCACAGACGAGCAGGAAGUGAUUGUGUGCCAGUUUCUGUCACUGUCUUCAAGAAGCUGAAGUAAUUUGGUAGGAUGUCGCGGGGUUUUUUGGUUCAAAUACACAUAAGUUCUAAAGUGGUAUUUCUCUGGGAAGGGCACAUAACACACUGCAGGGAUAAAACCAUCCCAAACUGUGGCAGUCCCUACAACUCCUGCAAGAUGCAAGUGCCUGAAAACCCCAAGCUAGCUUGGGAUAGAGCUAACCAAAGGAUAGAAGAUUGAUCCUGGUAACAUCUCUAGGACCUUCAACAAAUUACCUCUGGUGUCUUUACACUGAGAGGAGGGUGCCUUCCCGUGGAACAGCAGUGGAGAGUGGGUCAGCGCCUGCAGACCGCUGGCAGAGAGGCAGCUCCGCACGGCACAGCCGGGAGGCGGGGUGGCACCUGCAGCAACGGCACAGUCAGCACAGCCCGCAGCCCUCACAAGGAAGCCCCAGCCUUCCCGGUAGGCAUCUCUGCAGUGCCUCCUGACCAACACACCCGACAGAGCUGCACGGCAGCCAACUCACCUGAAACAAACACCUCGUCGCCUGCCGUGGAGGGGAGCUGUCGCACACCCGUGCCUGGAGACCUGUCUUCACUCUUACCAACUCGGGAGUCUCCUCUCUGCUUGUCACAGACUCUUUUGGUUUGACACUCAGCCUCCUCCUUGGCAGAAAGGAGUCUCUUCCGAGAUCCCAACCCAAACUGUCCCCAGGAGAAGGCUUCCUCAGCCUUAGGCUCACUGUCCCUGGGAGGUGACUGGUCUGGCAGCUGACACACCCCCUCGAGCUCAAAAUCCCCCAAGAUGGGGGUCUUGGUGAUGCUGAGUUCAAGGCCUCGCUCCUUCCCCUCCGGCUCCAGCAGCGACACUCCCCCAGGAAGGUCUGUACUGCCCUCGCUCCUCCCAGCAGAGCAGCUGAGGCUGCAGUCCACUGCCCUCUUCCGGCGGGGCCAGUCUUUAAUUGUGUCAGGAGUUGUCUUCCCGCUGUGCUUGGGGGAUGGUGUCCAAGGAACUCCGAUUUCUGUCUGAAAUGGAGAGGGGGUACUAGAGGGGCAGCGGGUGGGGGUACAGGACUGGCAGAUAUAGGUCUGUCCCCUGCUCUUGCCGGGGGUGCCGUGUGAGGGGCGAAGGCAGGGGGGCGACAGGUAGGUGGCUUCGGGUUUGCCUGAGGACUUGCUGGCCCUGGGCACGCUGAGACCAGGGAGGCAGCUCUCCUCUCCCAGAGAGCUCUCCUCCCUUUGCAGGGGCUCGGCUUCUGACAGACAGCUGGGGUCUAUCUUUUUAAUUCGAAGCUUGGGAAGGCCAGAAGUUUGCAUCUCCAGCUCAACCUCAUAGGUCUGUGGGCUGGCAGAGGCUCUGGAGGGCCAGGCUGACGCCUGCAGAUUCUCUAGUUGGGCAGCAGCCUGGCGCUGCUUCCUGUCUGCGGUGCAGCGCAGGUCGUAGCAGGGUGUCAGGGGAGAGCUGGGCCCAGAGGAAGGAGAAGAGGGAGGAAUCCCAGGGUUACACAGAGACGGCUUCUCAUAAGUACCCAUCCUUGACCCCUCACCUUCUUCCACUGGUGAAACGUUGCUUUUUAAGUUAUCACUGCUAUGGUGCUCAGCAGCUUCAUCCAGGAGAGUGAGAUACUCCGAGUCUCUUGCAAUAAGCAGAGGAGAGGAUGUAUGCCAGUGACUCCCAAAGCUAGUCCCAGGGUAACUAUGUCUUUCAGGAGGAGAUGGAGGAGAGAGGGUCGCUUCCUUCUGGUUCUUUCUAGCAUCUGUGAUGGCAGCUGGGUUGUCAGUUGUGGCAACUCUGAGAACAGCAGAGCUGUUAGGCUGGCCCUCCUGGAAGUUUCUUUCUGUUUUAGAAGUCUUUUUAUGCCUUUUCCCAAUUUUAGAAGGGGGUGGAGGCGGUAGGAGGUCAGAUCUAGCUAUCUGUGAGGCUUUGUAGGGAGUCGAGGGAGCAGGACAGGAGGGAGAUGUGGCUACACUGGGUGAUUUCUGGGCCUCUUGCCAAUCCAGUUCUCCAGAGGGAGGAGAUUCUACAGAAAAAUUCCCAAAUGGAGUCUUCUCGGAAAUACCACAUGAAGGAGAGGGAACAGGUUUCUUUGGAGAAGUCAGAGCUGUGUUCCCUGGUUUCUCUGGGGUUCUGACAGCAUCAUUCCAUGGCUGCGCCAGCUUCUCUGCCUGAGACGCUCCGGAGCCACGGAGGAGUUGGCGUUUCUGACUUGGAGGUGUGCCUACAAAGGCAGCUCGUCUUUGGACCCCCGAGGCUGCUGCCCUCAGAGGGAUUCGAGGAGAGUAUUUGAUGGGAGUCAGACACUCACUCCUGGUCUGGGCAGUUGACGAAACCAGGGCUGCCGGACAGGAGGUGCUUUCUGGACUGGAAUUCACCAAACGUGGCCAAGCAGAAUUCUGCAAAAAUCUAGGUGGCUGACCACCUUGUCUUUGGGGAGUUCUCGGUAUUUUUUCAAGAGGAGAGUGACUUUCUGCCAGGGAGUGUCCUUUCUGAGGAGUGGCUUUUCGUCGAGAUGGCGAAUGCCAGCCGUGUGAGGAGUCUUUUAAGAACUCCUUAAAAAUGACCUGUUUGGCAGGGGUCAUUUCUGCAGGGGAUUUUUGCAGCCUUUCAGGAGUGCGCAACGGAGUUUGUGGCGUAUGAGGGAACUUUCUUGGUGUAGCUUUAGAAAAGACUGGAGAUUUCCAGUAACUCUUCUCAGGAGUCUGUAAAGAAAAAUGCUCAUUUCAGUGCUUGAACAUCAUAACCCAUAUUUUCUGAAGAGUGUUUUAAUAAUGUCUAAGAUGAUUAAAAAGUCAAAUUUGGAAGAUUUAUAGUCAGCCAAAGGAAUGAUCUUAAGUUGGAUUUCGUAUAGUGACACGUUUCCACUUCCAAAACAUGACCCAGAUUUUACAUGUCCACUUUUUCUAGCACCAAGCGCUGUAUCCAAUCUUAGUUUCUUCUCCUAAGACAAAUAGUUUUAAUAAUUUGCAUACUACAGCUAAAACAUGCUUUGCCUCUAACUCUAUGUCACUCCACUACUCACAGCUAUCUUCUUCAAUGAGACAACUAUUUCUGAUCUUUGCCUAAAGUAACCUUUCGGAGCCACAUCACCUCCUGUUGAUCUGCAUUCAACAUGUGCUUUUAAGUACCUGCUAUGUGCUAGGCAAUGUGUGCGGGAGGAGGCCCGGGGGGAUGAGGUGGAACAUGAAAUAUAUGGAUAUAUAAGGCACAGCCUCAAAGAUAACAUCUCAGAAAGGAAACUCUCCAGCAAAAAACUUUCCUUCCUUCUUGCAAAAAUGCAGUUAAAUACUCCAACAGGUAAGGAGGUCCAACACCUGUUGUUUAAUCUUAUCUGAUCAUCUCAAGGGAGUCCUGGUCUAGUUGGCAUUUCAUGUGGGAUACAGACAGAUAUAUAGUAUGGCCAAUGCAAUGACAGGGGCACGCAUGGGACAAUAUGGGAGCACCGGGAGGGUUGGCUAUCUAACCCAGCAAAGGGGAGAAAGAGGGAAUAGGAAUAGCGAGUCAGGUCUUAAAAGAAUGGGUGUCAGCAGAAGACAAAAGGUGGGAAAGUGGGGGAGAGGGAACUUCAGGCAUAGAAAACAGUGUAAGCAAAGGCACAAAAGCAAAAAACAGCAGUUGUGUGCAUCCUGAGGCUGCUGGGAAGGUGGAGUGUGAAGCAGAGAUGGCUGAGCAGGGAUCAGAUCAUGGAGGUCCUUGCCUGUCCAGGGAGGAGAAUGAACAUGGUUCUAUAGAUCUGUGGUUUUCAAACCCUUCCCCACAGUUCCCUCCGUAUCCUCCUCCAUCCUCUAAGCAGUUUUUGGGUUUCCAAACGAAGAUUAUUAUCUUUGAACACAGGGUUCCAUUUCAGGAAAACUUAGAAAACCCUGCUUUAACAGAUGAAGAGUCUGUAGAGCUUCAAGCAAAGUGAUGUGGUCAGAGGAGCGUCCAAGGGGGUCACAAAGGUCCCUCUGACCUCUGGGGACAGGAUGAAUUUGAGAGAGAAGAGGCUACUGAAGUGUUCCAGGCAGAACUGAACUAGGGCAGGAACUGCAGGGAUGGAGAAGAGGGAAUGGGUAUGAGAUAGUUUGUCAGUAAAAUGGGCAGGACUAAUUGAGUAGCCAGGCCUGAGGAGAGGGGGAAGUCCAGGAUGACUCCCAGGUUUCUAACAUGGGUGACGGGAUCGAGUGGGCAAUCUAACAGAAACAGAUGAAUGCUACUGCACAUUUCAGAAGGAUAUAUACGUAGUGUCCAAUAUAAAUGGAAGAUGAAGCCAAGAGAGUAGGGCGAGAUCUUUCUAUCUCCUCCCUGCCACCUUGGCCUCAGCCCAACUGCUACCUAAGUCCCCAUACACC
This is a non-coding RNA of Delphinapterus leucas (beluga whale), 6359 nucleotides long. The record is from RefSeq and is a predicted model, not a curated record. NCBI's taxonomy places the organism in Eukaryota, Metazoa, Chordata, Mammalia, Artiodactyla, Monodontidae.